AGAGUUUGAUCCUGGCUCAGGACGAACGCUGGCGGUGUGCUUCACACAUGCAAGUCGAACGAGGUAGCAAUACCUAGUGGCGGACGAGUGAGUAACGCGUGGGAAUCUGCCUUUAGAUGGGGGAUAACGAGCCGAAAGGUUCGCUAAUACCGCAUAUGCCGCAAGGUGAAAGGAGUAAUCCGUCUAAAGAUGAGCCCGCGUCCGAUUAGCUAGUUGGUGGGGUAAAGGCCUACCAAGGCGACGAUCGGUAGCUGGUCUGAGAGGAUGAUCAGCCACAAUGGGACUGAGACACGGCCCAUACUCCUACGGGAGGCAGCAGUGGGGAAUUUUACGCAAUGGGGGAAACCCUGACGUAGCGACACCGCGUGAGCGAAGAAGCCCCUUGGGGUGUAAAGCUCUGUCAGCUGGAACGAAACAAAUGACGGUACCAGCAGAGGAAGCAUCGGCUAACUACGUGCCAGCAGCCGCGGUAAGACGUAGGAUGCGAGCGUUGUCCGGAUUUAUUGGGCGUAAAGAGUUCGUAGGUGGUUUGUUAAGUUUGAUGUUAAAGAUCGGGGCUCAACCUCGGGACAGCAUUGAAUACUGGCAGACUUGAGUAUGGUAGAGGCUAGUGGAAUUCCCAGUGUAGCGGUGAAAUGCGUAGA
This 644-nucleotide ribosomal RNA is filed under the name uncultured bacterium. RNAcentral's name for it is "bacterial SSU rRNA". It matches the Rfam family "Bacterial small subunit ribosomal RNA", at positions 8 to 694 of the family's 1533-position model. The record is from RNAcentral.